GACGAACGCUGGCGGCGUGCUUAACACAUGCAAGUCGAACGGAAAGGCCCUGCUUUUGUGGUGUGCUCGAUUGGCGAACGGGUGAGUAACACGUGAGUAACCUGCCCUUGACUUUGGGAUAACUUCAGGAAACUGGGGCGAAUACCGGAUAGGAGCUUCUGCUGCAUGUUGUGGGUUGGAAAGUUUCGGCGGUUGGGGAUGGACUCGCGGCUUGUCAGCUUGUUGGUGGGGUAGUGGCUUACCAGGGCUUUGACGGGUAGCCGGCCUGAGAGGGUGACCGGCCACAUUGGGACUGAGAUACGGACCAGACUCCUACGGGAGGCAGCAGUGGGGAAUCUUGCACAAUGGGCGGAAGCCUGAUGCAGCAACGCCGCGUGCGGGAUGACGGCCUUCGGGUUGUAAACAGCUUUCGCCUGUGACGAAGAGUGAGUGACGGUAAUGGGUAAAGAAGCACCGGCUAACUACGUG
Molecule: ribosomal RNA, 468 nt
Filed under: uncultured bacterium
Lineage: Bacteria
Description: partial 16S ribosomal RNA
Rfam family: Bacterial small subunit ribosomal RNA
Source: RNAcentral